This 75-nucleotide transfer RNA is filed under the name Burkholderia ubonensis. RNAcentral describes it as "tRNA-Arg". Lineage: Bacteria; Pseudomonadati; Pseudomonadota; Betaproteobacteria; Burkholderiales; Burkholderiaceae. The record is from RNAcentral.
UCCAUCUUGGUCAAUGUGGCAGCCUGCGGCCUUCUAAGCUGUAGGUCACACGUUCGAAUCGUGUAGGGCGGGCCA